Molecule: unclassified non-coding RNA, 280 nt
Filed under: Hevea brasiliensis (rubber tree)
Lineage: Eukaryota; Viridiplantae; Streptophyta; Magnoliopsida; Malpighiales; Euphorbiaceae
Source: RNAcentral
GGAGCAGGAGCCUUUAUUUGGAGUUGCAAGGCAUUAGUUUCGGAGAUUAAAGCGUCAAAAAAAGGAGGUUGAAAUGAUGUUGCAAGAACACAGAUCGACAUCUUUCCAGGGGAAACUGCUGAAGCAUAAUCUUGAUUCAGAAGUCGUCAAUGCUCUCAAUGACCUAAAAAGGAAGCUCAACGAAAGUGAACCGAAGUAGAUGGGAAGCUUGUUUGUAGAAAUACUCUAUUUUUCUAACUCCAUUCUUUGUUCAUUAAUUUAAUCCGAAUCUCAUGUUCAU